ACAUCAGGAGAACAGAAGAGAACACACACGGAAAAUAAAAAAAAGUCAAUAUUACAACAUAGUACUAUUUACUUUGAUCAACUUAAAAUUUCAAAGUACCAUCAUUCUUGUUUUAAAGAAAAAGAAGGUCCUUCAAACUUUGAGACACCAUCACAUGAGCUAAUGUAGCUAUGUUCUAUUUACAGAUAUGAGAAGUCUCACAGUAAGCCAGGCUGUGUAAGCAACCCUGAAGGCUGGUCAAAAACAACCCCAUUGGGAAAAGCAUGAGGAGUUAGUUAGCUUCCACUUUCUUGAAUGCCACCCCUUUACAGGCAGACUGCGACAGGCUGUAAGCCUUCCCACAGACUCUAGGACUCGACUCGGCACCGCCAGUAAGCUGUUGGCAUGCCACAACAUACAGGAAUGCAUACAGGAUGCACAAUCAGAAAACAUGCACACCUAAAUGAGAGAAGGAAAUGGCACGCUAACUGCAUGGAGGUCAGGGACCAAGCAGACCUACUAAAACCUAUUCCACCCCUGACUGUCCUCUAAGGCAUGCUACACUCCUGCUCCUUUCCUUUGCAUAUGAAGGAAGGCUGCUAAUAGUGCUUUUCACCCUCCAAGUCAAAGUUCAGGACUUAGCCUUCUGAGGGUUGUAAAUAGUAGAAUGCUCAGUUCCACUCAGCAAAGAUGUUCUUAUCUCACGCACCCAAAUAGGUUUAACCCCACUGACCUAGUGAAGAGCUACAGAGCUGGUGCUGGCUACUGGACGCCUUAUGUGGAUGUCUUUACACUGCUAUAAUGUCAUCAGCAUGAGCUAUGCCACUAGGCCUGGCAUACUCAGAACUUAAACUGGUCUCCACAAUAAGACGCCAUAUUCUUACUGCUUAGCAAAUAAGGAAGGCACAAAUAGGAGCUGGUAAGUGAUUCUGUUUUAACAUUUUAUUUCACUCUAAUCAGAUAAUUUUAAUUAAAAAAUUAUCUGACUUAUAUGCUACCAACAAAUUUGAUUAUUCUCACUAUACUAGCAGGAAAUUGGAGACAUGGAAGAAACUAACCCUGAGGUAAGAAAUGCAAGUCAAAUGGAGUACAUCCAGAAACUAGUACAUCCCAAGUCUGCACAACCGUGAGGACCAACUGCAAACCAUCUUCAUCCUGCCAAGCCGCACCUUGUCCCUGGUGUCACCAACGUUCUCAAUGCCCUCCAGCACAGACAGUGACCUACUAUCGGUCUCUAUGGAUUUGCUUCUUCUGGACAGUUAGUUCAUGGACACGGAAUCAUACAAUUAUGUAGCCUAUUGGGUCUCUCAGUUAAUUGGCUUAACAGCUCGCUCAGCACGUUGUAACAAACACCAGUAAUUCACUCUUCUUACAGCUAAGUUCUUUUUCUUUUUUAGUCUUACUUUUACUCAUUUGUUUGUGGACGUGUGUGGAGGCCAGAGAACAACUUGUAGGAGCCAAUUUUCUCCUCCCACCACUGCAGGUCCUGGGGGUUGAACUCUAGGUAUAAAAUCUGGAGGCAACAGCCUUUACUCACUGAUCGUCUCACUGGCCCCCAACAAUGUUCUACUGCAUGGGUGUACCACAUUUGGUUUAUCUAUUCAGCAGCAGGUUGCUUCUAUUAACAAAGCUGCUAAGACAUCCAUGGACAUCUUUUGUUGAAUCCUCAACAGAAGUAAAAUUGCCAGUGACUGCUAACUUUCUGAGGAACUCGCUACCAUGCUGUUUUCCACAGGUACCGCCCCAUUUUUAUCACUAUUAGCAACAUUUCUCCAUAUCCCCAGCCACGACUUACUUUCCACUUUCUUGGUCAUAGCAAUCCUGGAGGGAAUAAAGUGGUAUCUCAUUGUA
This is a long non-coding RNA of Peromyscus leucopus (white-footed mouse), 1830 nucleotides long. RefSeq lists it as uncharacterized. Lineage: Eukaryota; Metazoa; Chordata; Mammalia; Rodentia; Cricetidae. The record is from RefSeq and is a predicted model, not a curated record. The transcript has 2 exons.